AACGAACGCUGGCGGCAGGCCUAACACAUGCAAGUCGAACGGGCGUAGCAAUACGUCAGUGGCGGACGGGUGAGUAACACGUGGGAAUAUGCCUUUCGGUUCGGAACAACUCGGGGAAACGUCGUGCUAAUUCCGGAUACGCCCUUACGGGAAGGAUUAUCGCCGAAAGAUUAGCCCGCGUUGGAUUAGCUAGUUGGUGAGGUAACGGCCCGACCAAGGCAACGAUCCAUAGCUGGUUUGAGAGAACGACCAGCCACACUGGGACUGAGA
RNAcentral lists this ribosomal RNA (270 nucleotides) under uncultured bacterium. Its description in RNAcentral is "partial 16S ribosomal RNA". It matches the Rfam family "Bacterial small subunit ribosomal RNA", at positions 29 to 324 of the family's 1533-position model. The record is from RNAcentral.